UAAGUUCUAGCUUUUAUUUUAAAGACCAACAAAGCACUACCUGGAAACACUGCACAUGUGUGACAACUUUUUCUGCAAUUUUGCAUUACUGUUGGUUGGUAUACGGAUUCUAUAUUCUAUAUAAACGGUAUUUGUUUGAAAAUUAAAGAUGGAUCCACAAGAAGCACAGAAGUUGGCUGCCGAGCUCGAGGUAGAAAUGAUGGCAGACAUGUACAACAGGAUGACAAGCAGUUGUCAUAAAAAGUGUAUCAGCACAAGGUAUGACACUGGGGAUUUGGAAAAGGGGGAAGCUGUUUGUAUAGAUCGAUGUGUAGCUAAAUAUUUGGACAUCCAUGAACAAAUUGGGAAAAAGUUGACCGAAAUGUCUCAAACUGAUGAAGAAGCAAUGAGCAAAAUGUCACAAAAACCUGGUAUUCCUGCAAAUGUUUUGCAAAGAUGAAACAUAUAUUAAGCUUUCAGUUUAUGUAAACUUGCAAAAAAUACUUCUGUUUUGUUGCAAAAAAUCCAAAAAACACUUCUGCAACAACCAUAAUGCUAAUUGCCAUUUUAUUAAGAAGAUAAAACACAUUGGAAAUUUACUGCUCGUCUACAAAAUAGUUUUUGAAUAAAGUUUGUUUUCAGUACAAACUUACUUAAAUAUAAAUUUACAGAUGUUUAGUUUUGAUAUCAAAACAUUCUAGACUAGAAAGAACCAAAAUAUUCUACUUCUAUAAAGUAAUUUAGAAAAUACAUUGGCAAAGUUUACGGUAGUUUGGUAUCACGAAACUGUAAGAAUAAAGAAUGUAAUAUUGCAGUAUAUUA
Non-coding RNA from Ciona intestinalis (vase tunicate), 801 nucleotides. NCBI's taxonomy places the organism in Eukaryota, Metazoa, Chordata, Ascidiacea, Phlebobranchia, Cionidae. The record is from RefSeq and is a predicted model, not a curated record.